This 497-nucleotide ribosomal RNA is filed under the name uncultured bacterium. RNAcentral's name for it is "partial 16S ribosomal RNA". It matches the Rfam family "Bacterial small subunit ribosomal RNA", at positions 28 to 507 of the family's 1533-position model. The record is from RNAcentral.
GAUGAACGCUGGCGGCGUGCCUAAUACAUGCAAGUCGAGCGAACAGAUGAGGAGCUUGCUCCUCUGACGUUAGCGGCGGACGGGUGAGUAACACGUGGAUAACCUACCUAUAAGACUGGGAUAACUUCGGGAAACCGGAGCUAAUACCGGGUAAUAUAUUGAACUGCAUGGUUCAAUAGUGAAAGACGGUUUUGCUGUCACUUAUAGAUGGAUCCGCGCCGCAUUAGCUAGUUGGUAAGGUAACGGCUUACCAAGGCAACGAUGCGUAGCCGACAUGAGAAGGUGAGCUGGCACACCUGAACUGAGACACGGUCCAGACUGCUACGAGAGGCAGCCGUAGGGCAUCUUCCGCAAUGGGCGAAAGCCUGACGGAGCAACGCCGCGUGAGUGAUGCAGGUCUUCGGAUCGUAAAACUCUGUUAUUAGGGUAGAACAAAUGUGUAAGUAACUAUGCACGUCUUGACGGUACCUAAUCAGAAAGCCACGGCUAACUACGUG